UAAUUAAAAAAAUCAGAAAAAUUUAUUAAUUACGAUAAAUAAUAUGUGUGGUAAAUUAAAUUAGUUCUAUGCGGCCUAAAAUCCCCAAUAAAUAAGGUUUUUCAAAUUAAUUAAGCACAACAAUGGGCGGAGUGUUACAUCAUCCCCCACCUUAGAAAAAUUUGGUCCCCAAAUUUGUCUCGAACAGGUCCGGAUACUUUUCCCUCAUCUCGGUUUCCAACUCCCACAUUACUUUUUUUAGAGUAUGAUGCUACCAUCGCACGUUCACCAUGGGAAUCAUCUUGUUGCUCAUGACCUUGUCGGUUCACUCAAGAAUCUCCAUGGGAACCUCCUCAUAAGUCAUGUCCACUUGUACCUGCACCUCAUCGCGAGGAAUAAUAUGGUCAUACCUCUUUAUCAUUAAGACAUGAAAGACAUCAUGUAAACCCGUAAACUCUCAGGAUAGAGCGAGGCGGUAUGCCAUGAGUCCAAUGAGCUCGACGAUUCAAAAAGGUCCCACAUAACGAGGGCUUAACUUCCUUCUUUUCCUGAAUCGUAUCUUUCCUUUGUAGGGGAAAACCUUGAGGAAUACCUGGUCUCCCACGGUGAAUUCUGAGGGUCAUCUAUGAUUGUCAGCGUAACUCUUCUGACAGCUCUGGACAGUAGACAACUUCUUGCAGAUGAUCGCGACCUUCUCAACAGUCUCCUAAAUGAAGUCUGGUCCCAAAUGAUGCUUGUUUCUAACCUCACUCC
Molecule: long non-coding RNA, 732 nt
Filed under: Carica papaya (papaya)
Lineage: Eukaryota; Viridiplantae; Streptophyta; Magnoliopsida; Brassicales; Caricaceae
Description: long non-coding RNA (CPAP_LNC016239)
Source: RNAcentral